This is a non-coding RNA of Chlorocebus sabaeus (green monkey), 245 nucleotides long. The record is from RefSeq and is a predicted model, not a curated record. NCBI's taxonomy places the organism in Eukaryota, Metazoa, Chordata, Mammalia, Primates, Cercopithecidae.
UUUACCUGGUACUUUACAGAAAACAUUUGCUGACCUCUGAGCUAGCUCACAGUUCAGGCAAGGAAAUUGAAGUCCUGAAAGUUUAACUGAUUUGUUCCAGCUCAGAUGACUACACAGUGAACAAUUUAUAUUGGAUUGAGAUGAUCUGGUCUUGGAAGAUAUGAUAGAAUUUUCCUUUGCAACUGAUUGUGGUGCUUUUUUGCAACCUACAGAACGGGAGAAAAUUUUUGCAAACUAUACAUCUG